This is a non-coding RNA of Oncorhynchus mykiss (rainbow trout), 2323 nucleotides long. The record is from RefSeq and is a predicted model, not a curated record. NCBI's taxonomy places the organism in Eukaryota, Metazoa, Chordata, Actinopteri, Salmoniformes, Salmonidae.
CACCUGGACAGUAGACCCCUGUAGGGGGGCGAGGAUUACCCUGGAUUGCAUCACCAUGGGGAACAACGUCCACAAGAACAAGAAGAGGUUCCCUGCAGCUCGGAACGGAUCCUCUUCACGACCCAAAGGUUCUAUACCUGGUCCUAACCCCAGCCCCAACCCCCGCUCAGGCUCUAAACAUGGUGCUACCCCCUUCCCCAACCCGGGGAAGACCAAAGCCUUCUGGCACUUUGGGUGGGUGGAUAAACUGAAAACAGGUAGGAUCCGAGCUGGAUGAUCAGAGGGAAUGUUAUGUAUGGGAUUGUGUUUUCUUGUUUUUCGAUUUUAAUUGAUUUCAGCAGUCUGUGAUGUCACAGGCAUGAUGUCAUCUGUGUUCUAGAUAUUUCUAGAGAUAGUUCUGUCCCUCUGUGCAAUGAUCAUUGCUUGUCUUUGGUUGCGGUGACGAUGAUGUCAUAACAUGAAGACGUGCUGCCUUGGAGAGCUUAUUGUUUACAAUAUGAGGUAGUGGAAGAAUCGACAGUGACGGCAGAGUGUGCUGUCUGUGUAAAGACUCCAGGUGUUGUACUGAUAGUGUACUGUCUGUGUAAAGACUCCAGGUGUUGUACUGAUAGUGUACUGUCUGUGUAAAGACUCCAGGUGUUGUGUGGUAGUGGAAGAAUCGACAGCAACGGGAGAGUGUACUGUCUGUGUAAAGACUCCAGGUGUUGUGUGGUAGUGGAAGAAUCGACAGCGACGGCAGAGUGUACUGUCUGUGUAAAGACUCCAGAUAUUGUACUGAUAGUGUACUGUCUGUGUAAAGACUGCAGAUAUUGUCCUGAUAGUGUACUGUCUGUGUAAAGACUCCAGGUGUUGUACUGAGAGUGUACUGUCUGUGUAAAGACUCCAGGUGUUGUACUGAUAGUGUACUGUCUGUGUAAAGACUCCAGGUGUUGUACUGAUAGUGUACUGUCUGUGUAAAGACUCCAGGUGUUGUACUGAUAGUGUACUGUCUGUGUAAAGACUCCAGAUAUUGUACCGAUAGUGUGCUGUCUGUGUAAAGACUCCAGAUAUUGUACUGAUAGUGUACUGUCUGUGUAAAGACUCCAGAUAUUGUACUGAUAGUGUACUGUCUGUGUAAAGACUCCAGGUGUUGUACUGAUAGUGUACUGUCUGUGUAAAGACUCCAGAUAUUGUACUGAUAGUGUGCUGUCUGUGUAAAGACUCCAGAUAUUGUACUGAUAGUGUGCUGUCUGUGUAAAGACUCCAGAUAUUGUACUGAUAGUGUACUGUCUGUGUAAAGACUCCAGAUAUUGUACUGAUAGUGUACUGUCUGUGUAAAGACUCCAGAUAUUGUACUGAUAGUGUGCUGUCUUUGUAAAGACUCCAGAUAUUGUACUGAUAGUGUACUGUCUGUGUAAAGACUCCAGAUAUUGUACUGAUAGUGUGCUGUCUGUGUAAAGACUCCAGAUAUUGUACUGAUAGUGUACUGUCUGUGUAAAGACUCCAGAUAUUGUACUGAUACUGUGCUGUCUGUGUAAAGACUCCAGAUAUUGUACUGAUAGUGUGCUGUCUGUGUAAAGACUCCAGAUAUUGUACUGAUAGUGUACUGUCUGUGUAAAGACUCCAGAUAUUGUACUGAUAGUGUACUGUCUGUGUAAAGACUCCAGAUAUUGUACUGAUAGUGUGCUGUCUGUGUAAAGACUCCAGAUAUUGUACUGAUAGUGUACUGUCUGUGUAAAGACUCCAGAUAUUGUACUGAUAGUGUACUGUCUGUGUAAAGACUCCAGAUAUUGUACUGAUAGUGUACUGUCUGUGUAAAGACUCCAGAUAUUGUACUGAUAGUGUGCUGUCUGUGUAAAGACUCCAGAUAUUGUACUGAUAGUGUGCUGUCUGUGUAAAGACUCCAGAUAUUGUACUGAUAGUGUACUGUCUGUGUAAAGACUCCAGAUGUUGUACUGAUAGUGUACUGUCUGUGUAAAGACUCCAGAUAUUGUACUGAUAGUGUACUGUCUGUGUAAAGACUCCAGAUAUUGUACUGAUAGUGUGCUGUCUGUGUAAAGACUCCAGAUAUUGUACUGAUAGUGUGCUGUCUGUGUAAAGACUCCAGAUAUUGUACUGAUAGUGUACUGUCUUAUCCCUUUCAUACGUUUUCCAGCCAACUCAUUUCCUCCUUGUCUUUAAUAUCUGAACGGUAUUGCUGGUAUCAAAGCCUAAACUUGUAUUUCUGCCCAAGGCCCUAGUAAAGAUUUUGGUCAAGCUCUUUAAACUUUUGAUUGUUGCUAGGCAAUGUCAGUUUGCCAUCCUCCUGCCAGUUGUAACCUUAGUCCGUGUGACUUCGCCCGUC